AGAAAUAGCGGGCGCUUCUUCUCCGAUGGCAGCGGCGGAUCGGAUCCGGUGGGCGCUGUAGGCUUGCGCAUCUCAGGAGGGUUAGGGUCAUUGUGGGUUUAGCCAGUUAACCUCCCUACAUCAGUGUCAUGUUAGUUUUAGAAUUUAUUUUAAAAUUGUAUUGAUCUCCGGGGACAGAUUGUUCAGGAGCAAAAUGACUUAUAUUAAAUGAUAUAUUAAAGCUCAUCCGGUUUGGAGUUUACAGCAAAUUCAACUUUUUCAUGUAAGGUUAAAAAAAUGAUCACCCCUACCGUAACCCAACUAAAUCUUGUUCUCAUGUUUUUAAAUGUAUUCUUUGAUGAUGUGUCUCAGUGAUUUGUUUGUCUUUGUGUUUGUUCCAAUGUCUCUUUAGUGUACUGUGUUGUCAAAUGAAACUGAAAUGCUGAGUUGGAAGAUGUAAUAGAAUUUAAUCGCCAGAUCUGUAACAGCACACAGGUCUAGAGAAAGCUGUGAAGAAGUAGGUGAAUUUAUGGUCACUGGAAGCUGAAUUACAGUAGCUACUAUUAAACAUUUCGAAAUCAUUAAUACUUAUCUAACAUAAGGCUUAAAAUACAUUAAAUUCAUGUAUAAAAACAUUUUGUGUGUAUUUGCAGUGUGUGUGUUCUUAUUAAAUGCAGUUAAAGCCAAGCAUGAGGCUGAUUUUGACUGAUUUUGAUUUUUGACUUUUCUGCAGCAUCAAUAAAUCUGUGACUGCAUCUCCAGAGUCUUGAUGUCAGGAGAGAGUUUCGUUGUGGUCAAGAUAACAUCAGCAGAUAUGCAGACAACAGAACAACAGCAGAACACAUGCAUUUUUACAGCUACAAAGUUGUGUAAGUUACAUUGUGAUAACAUAUGUCUUUAUAUAUACACUACAGGCCAAAAGUUUGGAAGCAAGAUCAGAUUUGUACAAAAAAACAUCAUAGUUUCAUAUAUACAAUUUGCAACACAAUAAACAUGACUAUUGUGUAAAGAGUAACUUAGCAGAAGACAUUUUGACUAUAAUUAUUAGGUAUUUGAGUUAUUGUUGCUUAGAAUUUGCUUUCUUUAAAGUAAACUCCUCUGGCUUUAACAACAGCUUGGCAUAUACCAGGCAUUCGUUCCACAAGUUUUUUAAGGUAUGUUCCAGGGAUUGCAUUCCAAGCUUUCUUAAGUUUAUUAAAAAGAGACUGCUGAUUUGUGGGACACGUUUUUCUGACCGAUCGAUCCAAUUCAUCCCGCACAAGCUCAAUUGGAGAAAGGUCUGGAGACUGAGGGGGCCAAACCAUCUUUUGAAGAAAACCUUCCUUUUCUUUUUUGUCUAGGUAACCCUGACAGAGCUUGGCAGAGUGCUUAGGGUCCUUGUCUUGCUGCAAAACAAACUUAUGAGCCACAAGUCUGAGUCCAGAUGGAACAGCAUGGUGCUGGAGGAUGGAGUGGUACUGUUCCUUCUUCAUGAUACCCUUUACUUCAAACAAAUCUCCUACUCAAUCACCUGCAAAACAUCCCCAUACCAUGGAACUACCACCUCCAUGCUGAAUUGUGGGUGUAACACAUGGUGCUUUCAGACGUUAACCAGUUUGUCUGCGGACAUAGACUCUGCGUUUUGAACCAAACAGUCACAAAUGUGUUUCUAGUCAUCAUAAGUCCAAUUUUUGUGAGCUUUUGCCCACUCACAUCUCUUUUUCUUGUUCUGUGGAUGAAGUAGUGUUUUUUUGCAGAUACACAACCCUUCAGACCAGCCUUUCUCAAACGUCAUUCACGGUUGUCAGAGAUAUGGGUUUCGACCUUGUCAUGUUGAUUUCUUCCCUUAUUAUUUGUGGUGCUGUCUUUCACCAAUCUCUCUUACUGGUGACAAGGAUAUGUUUAUCCUCUGCUUUUGUAGUAACUCUCUUUCGUCCAGGUCUUUUUCUAUCAUCAUAACUUCCAGGUUCCUCUAGUCUCUUCAGAGUGUAGUGGACUCCUUUGUUAAACACCUUCAGGCAUUUUGCAAUUUCUCUUUCUGUGUAUCCUUCUUUCCUCAAUGUACAAAUCUGUACUUUUGUUUCUUUACUCAGUUGCUUCUUUCUUGCCAUUUUUGUGGUAGUUUGAAUGCAGUUGAGAUUUAUUAGGAUUUUUGUAUGCAGACUCUUAAAAGCCAAAAAGUUGAAGUGAAUAAUCCAACUGUGAUUUGUUUUUUGUUUUUUUUUUGCUUUUGCACUGAAGUUGUGACUCUUGCAAAUGUUUUCAACCCUAAAACUAAGCCCUUAUUAUCUUUUGCUUACAUAUAUUUAGCAAUGGUCUGUUAACAUCAAUGUAUAUCUAAAGUUAAUGGAGUAAAAUGGUGCAUUUCCAUAAAAGCAACAUCUGAUCAUGGAGUAAAUACAUUCCAAAAUACAUAAAACUCAUGCUGGAUUUUAAAAAAAGCAUUGUGAACAAAAACUUACUCCCAGAGGUUCGGCCUGUAAUGGCCUUGCUUCCAAACUUUUGGCCUGUAGUGUAAAUGAUUUAUCAAUAUUGCAUAAUGAGUACCUCAUACAUGUCAGCACCUAGAUAUGUGUGGGAGUACCCUUAGAUGUUUUUAAACUUUGUUCCUCACUAUGAACAGAUCCGAGAUAAGAGAACUUUAGUGGAUGUGCAAAUCAUCUUGAAAACUGUGUCAGUGGGUUUAAAAAUUUCAUCACAAACAUCUGAGAUCCUGUGUCUGCUUAAAAAAAAUAUAUGUAUAUAAUCUUCAUAGACA
RNAcentral lists this long non-coding RNA (2716 nucleotides) under Xyrichtys novacula (pearly razorfish). The record is from RNAcentral. Lineage: Eukaryota; Metazoa; Chordata; Actinopteri; Labriformes; Labridae.